RNAcentral lists this ribosomal RNA (234 nucleotides) under Triticum aestivum (bread wheat). Its description in RNAcentral is "partial small subunit ribosomal RNA". Lineage: Eukaryota; Viridiplantae; Streptophyta; Magnoliopsida; Poales; Poaceae. The record is from RNAcentral.
GUUGAUACGAUCCACGUCGUAAUCCAUAUUAGAUUACCAAAUUUAUUAAAAAAAAAAGGAACAAACGAAGAAUUAGAGAAAGAUCUACAAAAGGAAAUUAACUCUGUAAACCAGAGAUUUGAUAUUUCUAUCAAAGUUAAUGAACCUUAUAAACAACCUAACAUUCUUGCAGAAUAUUUAGCUUUCCAAUUAAAAAUAGAGUUUUAUUCUAAAGGAAAUGAAAAAAGCCAGUGA